GUGCUAUAGUCCUGGUUUCUUUAGCAGUCAUGGCUGAUCUUCGAAGACUGGGUAAAAACAGUUCUUACUAUCAUUGUUCAUAAUACUAGCAAAUGAUCCAAUAUUAGAAAUAGAUAUAAUCUUAUUAAUGGAAAUGAUAACAAAGUAGAUUCGCCAGAUUUACAAUACAUACCUUAAUCCCUAGUCCUUUUCAUCUGAUUUACAGUUGAAAUCCCCCAUAUGUGAAUAUGAAUUGGGAGUCCUUUGAAAGCCAUCUUGCUUUUUAAUUUGAUCCCCAGAAAUUGUCCCAGUCCUUCAAACACAGUAACUGCUUAGGAAUUUUAAAAUUUCACAUUUGUCAAAAUUCUGCAAUGAGCUGAUGUAUUACUUAUUACAUUUCUCAGAUGAGGAAACUGAGGUUCAGAAGAUUGAUCAUCAUCACACAGCCGAAGAGUGACCCUUUGGGAGAAGAGGCUUCAUCUCUUACAGUUUUUUGGAAAAGAACACCUAUUGUGAAAUCGUCAUGGAGAAAACAUUAAGUGAAACAGAUUUACCAAUUAAUCCAAAUCAGGAAUAUGCUAACAAGGCUGAAAACUUUCUGGAAUACAUGUGUCGUCUGUGCAUUGACUCAGAGCCCAGUGUUGCCCGAAACACUGCUAUCAUCUGCACCAUUGGCCCAGCUUCUCAAUCUGUAGAUACAUUAAAAAAGAUGAUUAGCGCUGGAAUGAAUGUGGCUCGUAUAAACACCUGCCAUGGAAAUCAAGAGGAACACGCCAUGAUGAUCAAAAAUGUACGAACGGCUACAGACAGUUUUCUUUCUGAUCCCAUGUUCUAUCGGCCUAUUGCUAUAGCAUUGGACAUAAAAGGACCAUCCGUCCGGACUGGACUCAUCAAGGGCAGUGAAUCAGCUGAAGUAGAGCUAAAGAAGGGCAAUUCUAUCAAAGUCACUUUGGAUGAUACAUAUAAGGAAAACUGCGAUGAGAAUAUUCUGUGGGUAGACAACAAAAGAGUUUUCACCGACAUAAAGAUUGAUGGCAAGAUCUAUGUGGACAAUGGGCUCAUUUGUCUGGUUGUGAGGGAGAAAGGUAAUGGUUUCCUUUUGACUGAGGUGACAAGUGGUGGAAUGCUAGGCAGCAAGAAAUGCUUGAACUUUCCUGGGUUGAAAAUGGACUUUGCUCUUACAACUAAGGAUAAAGAAGAUUUAAAGUUUGGAUUAGAGCAAAAGGUAGAUAUGGUGUUUGCAUCUUUCAUCCAAAAGGCAGGGGAUGUCCAAGAAGUCAGAAAGAUACUUGGGAAAGAAGGAGAAAGCGUGUUGGUCAUCAGCAAGAUUGAGAACCAUGAAGGAGUUAAAAAUUUUGAUGAGAUCCUGAAAGUCAGUGAUGGCAUUAUGAUUGCUCGGGGGGACCUAGGUAUUGAGAUCCCUCCACAAAAAGUCUUCCUUGCUCAGAAGAUGAUGAUUGGAAGGUGUAAUCUAGCUGGGAAACCUGUUAUCUGUGCCACCCAGAUGCUACAGAGCAUGAUUAAGAAGCCACGUCCCACUCGAGCAGAAAGCAGUGAUAUAGCCAAUGCUGUCCUAGAUGGAGUAGAUUGUGUCAUGUUGUCAGGGGAGACCGCCAAAGGGGACUACCCAGUAGAAUGUGUAAAGGUCCAACACAGGAUUGCCCGAGAGGCAGAGGCUGCCACCUUUCACUUGCAGUUAUUUAAUGAACUUGUCAACCUGGUACCCCACAAUAAGGAUUUUACUGAAAUUACUGCUGUGGGUGCUGUAAAAGCAUCCUUCAACUAUGCCAGUGAGGCCAUCAUCGUUCUCACUGACACUGGAAAAUCAGCUUAUUUGAUAGCCAGGUAUCAUCCCCGGGUCCCUAUCCUUGCUGUUAUUCGGGAUGCCCAAGUUGCACGGCAGGUGUUGAAACAAAAUGGACUGAAGAUGUCGAAAUAAGGAUUAACUAUG
Monodelphis domestica (gray short-tailed opossum) is the source of this 1930-nucleotide long non-coding RNA. The record is from Ensembl. Lineage: Eukaryota; Metazoa; Chordata; Mammalia; Didelphimorphia; Didelphidae.